Molecule: long non-coding RNA, 222 nt
Filed under: Coffea arabica (coffee)
Lineage: Eukaryota; Viridiplantae; Streptophyta; Magnoliopsida; Gentianales; Rubiaceae
Description: long non-coding RNA (CARA_LNC002626)
Source: RNAcentral
UACGGGAGGCAAAAAUUCGUGACAUAAUUUUCUUAUACAGGGAUUAAUGGGGUAUUUAAAUUAAAGAGUUAUAAUCACCCAUAUCCAUGUUCAAAGAAUAAUUCCACUAAUAUGAACAAGCAAAUGAACUAACGUAUUCCAUAAUUUCUUAAAUCAAAUGCAAUUCUAAAUGAUAUGAUUAACACAUAUAGAGGAUAAGGUAAAAUAAUAUAAUAGGAAAUA